This is a long non-coding RNA of Zea mays, 464 nucleotides long. RefSeq lists it as uncharacterized. The record is from RefSeq and is a predicted model, not a curated record. The transcript is spliced from 2 exons. NCBI's taxonomy places the organism in Eukaryota, Viridiplantae, Streptophyta, Magnoliopsida, Poales, Poaceae.
GUGUUAAGCGUUGGUGGGCACGACCUUCUUAUAAGUCUAAUAAAGUGGAUUCUUUGCUACUUGAAAGGUACUUCUGAUUUUGGAUUAUUGCUUGACAAGAAUUCAGUGAAGAAAAUUGGUGUCAUGGGAUUUGUUGAGGGAUUUGUUGAUUCUGACUUUGCUGGUGAUCUUGAUAAGAGACGCUCCAUAUCUGGUUAUGUAUUUUCAUUAUACGGUUCUGCAGUGAGUUGGAGGGCUUCACUUCAGUUUGUUACUGCUCUUUCCACUACUUAAGCAGAAUAUGUCUUAGCUACUAAAGGGGCUAAAGAAGCAAUUUGGAUGCAAGGUCUUAUUUCUGAACUUGGUGUUUCUCAGGAUGUCAUUAAGAUUUAUUGUGAUAGUGAUAGUGAUAUUUGUCUGACCAAGAAUGACAUGUAUCAAUUCAAGACCAAGCAUAUUGAUAUCAAGUACCACUUCAUUCGUGA